This 376-nucleotide long non-coding RNA is filed under the name Equus asinus (donkey). RNAcentral's name for it is "lncRNA (ENSEASG00005029095.1)". Lineage: Eukaryota; Metazoa; Chordata; Mammalia; Perissodactyla; Equidae. The record is from RNAcentral.
CUCGUCCUCUCCUUGGAAACGGGGCUCUUCAACCUCCUUCCUCGAGCGCUGGGCCCGACUCCCUCCACCAGGCGGGAAAGCUUUACCUGAACUAAGGUCACGAGCGGGAAGGGCUGUUAGCAGCCACUUCGCGAUGUCACAGGAAGCACAGAGCAACUAUUCGUUCGUUCGUAACACCGUCUGUUUCCCCACAGGCUUCCAGACAGUAUAAAAGUUGUUAGGAAUGGAAUCAUUUUGCCUAAAGGAGCCAAGAAACCAAGAGUUGCAAUUUGUCAGAAAGAAGGAUUACGUGCCAUUAGGUGAAACAGCUACCUCUCCAGGUCUUAAAAGAGAGGUCUUGUUUAGGAGCAUCCCCUGUGUAGACUGCGUGUGUGGG